CCACGCCGUAAACGAUGUCGACUUGGAGGUUGUUCCCUUGAGGAGUGGCUUCCGGAGCUAACGCGUUAAGUCGACCGCCUGGGGAGUACGGCCGCAAGGUUAAAACUCAAAUGAAUUGACGGGGGCCCGCACAAGCGGUGGAGCAUGUGGUUUAAUUCGAUGCAACGCGAAGAACCUUACCUACUCUUGACAUCCAGAGAACUUAGCAGAGAUGGAUUGGUGCCUUCGGGAACUCUGAGACAGGUGCUGCAUGGCUGUCGUCAGCUCGUGUUGUGAAAUGUUGGGUUAAGUCCCGCAACGAGCGCAACCCUUAUCCUUUGUUGCCAGCGGUUCGGCCGGGAACUCAAAGGAGACUGCCAGUGAUAAACUGGAGGAAGGUGGGGAUGACGUCAAGUCAUCAUGGCCCUUACGAGUAGGGCUACACACGUGCUACAAUGGCGCAUACAAAGAGAAGCGACCUCGCGAGAGCAAGCGGACCUCAUAAAGUGCGUCGUAGUCCGGAUUGGAGUCUGCAACUCGACUCCAUGAAGUCGGAAUCGCUAGUAAUCGUAGAUCAGAAUGCUACGGUGAAUACGUUCCCGGGCCUUGUACACACCGCCCGUC
RNAcentral lists this ribosomal RNA (603 nucleotides) under Pantoea sp. L1.23. Its description in RNAcentral is "bacterial SSU rRNA". It matches the Rfam family "Bacterial small subunit ribosomal RNA", at positions 795 to 1398 of the family's 1533-position model. The record is from RNAcentral. Lineage: Bacteria; Pseudomonadati; Pseudomonadota; Gammaproteobacteria; Enterobacterales; Erwiniaceae.